UGGGGAAUAUUGCACAAUGGCCGGAAGUCUGAUGCAGCAACGCCGCGUGCGGGAUGACGGCCUUCGGUUUGUAAACCGCUUUUUCUCAUGACGAAGUUUUUUGACGGUAGUGGGGGAAGAAGCACCGGCUAACUACGUGCCAGCAGCCGCGGUGAUACGUAGGGUGCGAGCGUUGUCCGGAAUUAUUGGGCGUAAAGAGCUUGUAGGCGGUUUGUCGCGUCGAUAGUGCAAACUCAGUGCUUAACGCUGAGCCUGCUGUUGAUACGGGCAGACUAGAGGAAGGUAGGGGAGAAUGGAAUUCCCGGUGGAGCGGUGGAAUGCGCAGAUAUCGGGAGGAACAACGGUGGCGAAGGCGGUUCUCGGGGCCUUUCCUGACGCUGAGAAGCGAAAGCGUGGGGAGCGAACAGG
This 408-nucleotide ribosomal RNA is filed under the name Fusobacteriota bacterium. RNAcentral's name for it is "Fusobacteria bacterium partial 16S ribosomal RNA". It matches the Rfam family "Bacterial small subunit ribosomal RNA", at positions 355 to 776 of the family's 1533-position model. Lineage: Bacteria; Fusobacteriati; Fusobacteriota. The record is from RNAcentral.